Molecule: ribosomal RNA, 497 nt
Filed under: uncultured bacterium
Lineage: Bacteria
Description: partial 16S ribosomal RNA
Rfam family: Bacterial small subunit ribosomal RNA
Source: RNAcentral
GAUGAACGCUGGCGGCGUGCCUAAUACAUGCAAGUCGAGCGAACGGACGAGAAGCUUGCUUCUCUGAUGUUAGCGGCGGACGGGUGAGUAACACGUGGAUAACCUACCUAUAAGACUGGGAUAACUUCGGGAAACCGGAGCUAAUACCGGAUGAUAUUUUGAACCGCAUGGUUCAAAAGUGAAAGACGGUCUUGCUGUCACUUAUAGAUGGAUCCGCGCUGCAUUAGCUAGUUGGUAAGGUAACGGCUUACCAAGGCAACGAUGCAUAGCCGACCUGAGAGGGUGAUCGGCCACACUUGAACUGAUACACGGUCCUGACUCCUACGGGAGGCAGCAGUAGGGAAUCUUCCGCAAUGGGCGAAAGCCUGACGGAGCAACGCCGCGUGAGUUAUGAAGGUCUUCGGAUCGUAAAACUCUGUUAUUAGGGAAGAACAUAUGUGUAAGUAACUGUGCACAUCUUGACGGUACCUAAUCAGAAAGCCACGGCUAACUACGUG